CAUGCAAGUCGAGCGGAUGAAGGGAGCUUGCUCUCUGAUCCAGCGGCCGACGGGUGAGUAAUGCCUAGGAAUCUGCCUGGUAGUGGGGGACAACGUCUCGAAAGGGACGCUAAUACCGCAUACGUCCUACGGGAGAAAGCAGGGGACCUUCGGGCCUUGCGCUAUCAGAUGAGCCUAGGUCGGAUUAGCUAGUUGGUGGGGUAAUGGCUCACCAAGGCGACGAUCCGUAACUGGUCUGAGAGGAUGAUCAGUCACACUGGAACUGAGACACGGUCCAGACUCCUACGGGAGGCAGCAGUGGGGAAUAUUGGACAAUGGGCGAAAGCCUGAUCCAGCCAUGCCGCGUGUGUGAAGAAGGUCUUCGGAUUGUAAAGCACUUUAAGUUGGGAGGAAGGGUUGUAGAUUAAUACUCUGCAAUUUUGACGUUACCGACAGAAUAAGCACCGGCUAACUCUGUGCCAGCAGCCGCGGUAAUACAGAGGGUGCAACCGUUAAUCGGAAUUACUGGGCGUAAAGCGUGCGUAGACGGCUAUCUAAGUCGGGUGUGAAAGCCCCGGGCUCAACCUGGGAAUUGCAUUCGAGACUGAAUAGCUAGGGUACGGUAGAGGGAAGCGGAAUUUCCGGUGUAGCGGUGAAAUGCGUAGAUAUCGGAAGGAACAUCAGUGGCGAAAGCGGCUUCCUGGACCAGUACCGACGUUCAGCACGAAAGCGUGGGGAGCAAACAGGAUUAGAUACCCUGGUAGUCCACGCCGUAAACGAUGAGAACUAGGUGUUGCGGGUAUUGACCCCUGCAGUGCCGCAGCUAACGCAUUAAGUUCUCCGCCUG
Molecule: ribosomal RNA, 826 nt
Filed under: uncultured bacterium
Lineage: Bacteria
Description: bacterial SSU rRNA
Rfam family: Bacterial small subunit ribosomal RNA
Source: RNAcentral